GAUGAACGCUGGCGGCGUGCUUAACACAUGCAAGUCGAACGGAAAGGCCCAAGCUUGCUUGGGUACUCGAGUGGCGAACGGGUGAGUAACACGUGGGUGAUCUGCCCUGCACUUCGGGAUAAGCCUGGGAAACUGGGUCUAAUACCGGAUAGGACGAUGGUUUGGAUGCCAUUGUGGAAAGUUUUUUCGGUGUGGGAUGAGCUCGCGGCCUAUCAGCUUGUUGGUGGGGUAAUGGCCUACCAAGGCGUCGACGGGUAGCCGGCCUGAGAGGGUGUACGGCCACAUUGGGACUGAGAUACGGCCCAGACUCCUACGGGAGGCAGCAGUGGGGAAUAUUGCACAAUGGGCGCAAGCCUGAUGCAGCGACGCCGCGUGGGGGAUGACGGCCUUCGGGUUGUAAACUCCUUUCGCUAGGGACGAAGCGUUUUUGUGACGGUACCUGGAGAAGAAGCACCGGCUAACUACGUG
This 468-nucleotide ribosomal RNA is filed under the name uncultured bacterium. RNAcentral's name for it is "partial 16S ribosomal RNA". It matches the Rfam family "Bacterial small subunit ribosomal RNA", at positions 28 to 507 of the family's 1533-position model. The record is from RNAcentral.